This 790-nucleotide ribosomal RNA is filed under the name uncultured Methanosaeta sp. RNAcentral describes it as "bacterial SSU rRNA". It matches the Rfam family "Archaeal small subunit ribosomal RNA", at positions 92 to 881 of the family's 1478-position model. The record is from RNAcentral. Lineage: Archaea; Methanobacteriati; Methanobacteriota; Methanomicrobia; Methanotrichales; Methanotrichaceae.
AGUAACACGUGGACAACCUGCCCUGAGGACUGGAAUAAUCCCGGGAAACUGGGGGUAAUUCCAGAUAUGUCAGAACUCCUGGAAUGGGUUCUGGCAGAAAGGCUCCGGCGCCUCAGGAUGGGUCUGCGGCCUAUCAGGGUAGUAGUGGGUGUAACGUACCUACUAGCCUACGACGGGUACGGGUUGUGAGAGCAAGAGCCCGGAGAUGGAUUCUGAGACAUGAAUCCAGGCCCUACGGGGUGCAGCAGGCGCGAAAACUUUACAAUGCGGGCAACCGCGAUAAGGGGACCUCGAGUGCUGGGUUACAAACCUGGCUGUUGGGCUGCCUAAAAAGCAGUCUAUAGCAAGGGCCGGGCAAGACCGGUGCCAGCCGCCGCGGUAACACCGGCGGCUCGAGUGGUAACCGCUGUUAUUGGGUCUAAAGGGUCUGUAGCCUGCCGGCUAAGUCUCUUGGGAAAUCUGGCAUCUCAAGUGUCAGGCUGCCAGGGGAUACUGGUCAGCUUGGGACCGGGAGAGGUGAGAGGUACCUCAGGGGUAGGGGUGAAAUCUUGUAAUCCUUGAGGGACCACCAGUGGCGAAGGCGUCUCACCAGAACGGAUCCGACGGCAAGGGACGAAAGCUAGGGGCACGAACCGGAUUAGAUACCCGGGUAGUCCUAGCCGUAAACGAUACUCGCUAGGUGUCGGCCACGGUGCGACCGUGGUCGGUGCCGUAGGGAAGCCGUGAAGCGAGCCACCUGGGAAGUACGGCCGCAAGGCUGAAACUUAAAGGAAUUGGCGGGGGAGCACAA